UGGGAUUUCGUUUCUCACGUUCCUCGACCCUAAUGUCUACAUGAGGUGUGAGUUCAACGGAUAAAGGAAAUCACAUUACUAAUAGAAUGAUGCCGCAGCAAAGAAAAUGCUCUCAGCCUUGGACGAUCCAUUCACUCGAUUCUUGAAACCAUUACCUUUUCUGAAGCAAGACUAGCUAGCACCCAAGGUGCCCUGGCAGGGGUCAUCAAGGAAACUCAAUAGAUGGCUAUUUCAGUGGAGAUUAUACCAGAGAUGUUGUUUUGAAAGUAUAUGCCAAGAGAGAAAGAUAUACUUGAAACCCGAUGAGGUCAAUGAUGUGGAGAUUUUACCAGAGAUGUUGUUUUCAAGUAAGAUUUUGUGUGA
Triticum dicoccoides is the source of this 363-nucleotide long non-coding RNA. RefSeq lists it as uncharacterized. The record is from RefSeq and is a predicted model, not a curated record. Lineage: Eukaryota; Viridiplantae; Streptophyta; Magnoliopsida; Poales; Poaceae. The transcript has 4 exons.